CAGUCGCCGCGGUAAGACGGAGGGUGCUAGCGUUGUUCGGAAUCACUGGGCGUAAAGGGCGCGUAGGCGGCCUGUUAAGUCGGAUGUGAAAGCCCGGGGCUCAACCCCGGAACUGCAUCCGAGACUGGCAGGCUUGAGACCGGGAGAGGAGGGUGGAAUAUCCAGUGUAGAGGUGAAAUUCGUAGAUAUUGGAUGGAACACCGGUGGCGAAAGCGGCUCUCUGGCCCGGAUCUGACGCUGAGGCGCGAAAGCGUGGGGAGCAAACAGGAUUAGAGACCCCGGUAGUCCCUGUCUCUUAUAC
This 301-nucleotide ribosomal RNA is filed under the name uncultured bacterium. Its description in RNAcentral is "partial 16S ribosomal RNA". It matches the Rfam family "Bacterial small subunit ribosomal RNA", at positions 509 to 807 of the family's 1533-position model. The record is from RNAcentral.